RNAcentral lists this transfer RNA (82 nucleotides) under Echinostoma caproni. It matches the Rfam family "tRNA". Rfam says of the family: Transfer RNA (tRNA) molecules are approximately 80 nucleotides in length. Their secondary structure includes four short double-helical elements and three loops (D, anti-codon, and T loops). The record is from Rfam by way of RNAcentral. Lineage: Eukaryota; Metazoa; Platyhelminthes; Trematoda; Plagiorchiida; Echinostomatidae.
AACCUCGUAGCUCGGCUGAUAGAGCAUGCGCUUACAAAGCAUAGGUGGCUUCCAUGCGUGGUUUCGAAUCCCACCGAGGUUA